GACACCUAGACCCUUUUACGUGAUACGGAUAGCAGCUAAAAGUAAUAUUAAUAGUGUACUAGGCCUAUCAGUAUUAUUGCUAUAUUUGUAGCUGGUUAUUUCGUUAGGCUUUAAUUGUAUAAAUAACAUUAAUUUUUCUAUAUCACGAAAGGAACAAAAUGACAUAUUGGCGUCAGGCAGGACUAACGUAUCUUCGUUUUUCUUCAAUUGCUUCUAAACUAGUGAGAAAAGCAUUAAAACCCGAGUUCCAAGUAGCUGAUCAAAUGAAAGAGCAAGCUGUAUUAAAAAAAAUAGUUUGGAAAGAUGGUAAACCACUGGUAAAAUAGAGUAGGAUCAUUAUCAUUGGUCUGGAACACUGAAUUAGUCGGGAGGUCUCAGAAUUCACCAUGGUCAAAAAGUUUCUGUAAAUUUCAGUUACUCAGAAAUUAAUACUUUUUGUAGGUAAAAUUCUAUAGUCAAUAAAUGCAUUAAAACAUCUUG
This is a long non-coding RNA of Limulus polyphemus (Atlantic horseshoe crab), 480 nucleotides long. RefSeq lists it as uncharacterized. NCBI's taxonomy places the organism in Eukaryota, Metazoa, Arthropoda, Merostomata, Xiphosura, Limulidae. The transcript is spliced from 3 exons. The record is from RefSeq and is a predicted model, not a curated record.